This 497-nucleotide ribosomal RNA is filed under the name uncultured bacterium. RNAcentral's name for it is "partial 16S ribosomal RNA". It matches the Rfam family "Bacterial small subunit ribosomal RNA", at positions 28 to 507 of the family's 1533-position model. The record is from RNAcentral.
GAUGAACGCUGGCGGCGUGCCUAAUACAUGCAAGUCGAGCGAACGGACGAGAAGCUUUCUUCUCUGAUGUUAGCGGCGGACGGGUGAGUAACACGUGGAUAACCUACCUAUAAGUCUGGGAUAACUUCGGGAAACCGUAGCUAAUACCGGAUAAUAUUUUGAACCGCAUGGUUCAAAAGUUCAAGACGGUCUUGCUGUCACUUAUAGAUGGAUCCGCGCUGCAUUAGCUAGUUGGUAAGGUAACGGCUUACCAAGGCAACGAUGCAUAGCCGACCUGAGAGGGUGAUCGGCCACACUGGAACUGAGACACGGUCCAGACUCCUACGGGAGGCAGCAGUAGGGAAUCUUCGGCAAUGGGCGAAAGCCUGACGGAGCAACGCCGCGUGAGUGAUGAAGGUCUUCGGAUCGUAAAACUCUGUUAUUAGGGAAGAACAUAUGUGUAAGUAACUGUGCACAUCUUGACGGUACCUAAUCAGAAAGCCACGGCUAACUACGUG